UACAGAGGGUGCGAGCGUUAAUCGGAAUUACUGGGCGUAAAGGGCGCGUAGGCGGUUGUAUGAGUGUGAUGUGAAAGCCCCGGGCUUAACCUGGGAAGGGCAUCGCAAACGAUACGACUGGAGUAUAAGAGAGGGUGGCGGAAUUUCCGGUGUAGCGGUGAAAUGCGUAGAGAUCGGAAGGAACGUCAAUGGCGAAGGCAGCCACCUGGCUUAAUACUGACGCUGAGGCGCGAAAGCGUGGGGAGCGAACAGG
RNAcentral lists this ribosomal RNA (253 nucleotides) under uncultured bacterium. RNAcentral describes it as "partial 16S ribosomal RNA". It matches the Rfam family "Bacterial small subunit ribosomal RNA", at positions 524 to 776 of the family's 1533-position model. The record is from RNAcentral.